CAGCCGCCGCGGUAAUACGAAGGGUGCAAGCGUUAAUCGGAAUUACUGGGCGUAAAGCGUGCGUAGGCGGUUUGUUAAGUCUGUUGUGAAAUCCCCGGGCUCAACCUGGGAAUGGCAAUGGAUACUGGCAAGCUAGAGUGUGUCAGAGGAUGGUGGAAUUUCCGGUGUAGCAGUGAAAUGCGUAGAGAUCGGAAGGAACAUCUGUGGCGAAGGCGACUAUCUGGGCCAACACUGACACUGAGGCACGAAAGCGUGGGGAGCAAACAGGAUUAGAUACCCCUGUAGUCCCUGUCUCUUAUAC
RNAcentral lists this ribosomal RNA (301 nucleotides) under uncultured bacterium. RNAcentral describes it as "partial 16S ribosomal RNA". It matches the Rfam family "Bacterial small subunit ribosomal RNA", at positions 509 to 807 of the family's 1533-position model. The record is from RNAcentral.